CUAGCGACUUCAGAGUUUGAUCCUGGCUCAGGAUAAACGCUGGCGGCGCACAUAAGACAUGCAAGUCGAACGGAAGUCGUUUUAAUGAUUUUGAAAUGAAAGAUUUAUCCGGAAUGAUGAUGAUUUAAAACAAUGGCUUCAGUGGCGGACUGGUGAGUAACACGUAAGCAACCUGCCUGUUAGAGGGGAAUAACAACGAGAAAUCGUUGCUAAUACCGCAUAUGCCAUAUGAACCACAUGGUUCAAGUGGGAAAGGAGUAAUCCGCUAACAGAUGGGCUUGCGUCUGAUUAGAUAGUUGGUGGGGUAACGGCCUACCAAGUCGACGAUCAGUAGCCGGACUGAGAGGUUCAACGGCCACAUUGGGACUGAGAUACGGCCCAG
Molecule: ribosomal RNA, 382 nt
Filed under: uncultured bacterium
Lineage: Bacteria
Description: bacterial SSU rRNA
Rfam family: Bacterial small subunit ribosomal RNA
Source: RNAcentral